GAUGAACGCUGGCGGCGUGCCUAAUACAUGCCAGUCGAGCGAACAGACGAGGAUCUUGCUCCUCUGACGUUAGCGGCGGACGGGUGUGUAACACGUGUAUAACCUACCUAUAAGACUGGGAUAACUUCGGGAAACCGGAGCUAAUACCGGAUAAUAUAUUGAACCGCAUGGUUCAAUAGUGAAAGACGGUUUUGCUGUCACUUAUCGAUGGAUCCGCGCCGCAUUAGCUAGUUGGUAAGGUAACGGCUUACCAAGGCAACGAUGCGUAGACGACGUGAGAGAGUGGUCGGCCACACUGGAAGUGGGACACGGUCCAGACUCCUACGGGAGGCAGCAGUAGGGAAUGUUACGCAGUGGGCGAAAGCCUGACGGAGCAACGCCACGUGAGUGAUGAAGGUCUUCGGAUCGUAAAACUCUGUUAUUAGGGAAGAACAAAUGUGUAAGUAACUAUGCACGUCUUGACGGUACCUAAUCAGAAAGCCACGGCUAACUACGUG
Molecule: ribosomal RNA, 497 nt
Filed under: uncultured bacterium
Lineage: Bacteria
Description: partial 16S ribosomal RNA
Rfam family: Bacterial small subunit ribosomal RNA
Source: RNAcentral